UACGGAGGGGGCUAGCGUUGUUCGGAAUUACUGGGCGUAAAGCGCACGUAGGCGGCUUUUUAAGUCAGAGGUGAAAGCCCGGGGCUCAACUCCGGAAUUGCCUUUGAGACUGGAAGGCUUGAUCGUCGGAGAGGUGAGUGGAAUUCCGAGUGUAGAGGUGAAAUUCGUAGAUAUUGGGAAGAACACCGGUGGCGAAGGCGGCAUCCUGGACCGGUAUUGACGCUGAGGCGCGAAAGCCAGGGGAGCAAACGGG
This 253-nucleotide ribosomal RNA is filed under the name uncultured bacterium. RNAcentral's name for it is "partial 16S ribosomal RNA". It matches the Rfam family "Bacterial small subunit ribosomal RNA", at positions 524 to 776 of the family's 1533-position model. The record is from RNAcentral.